GGGCUUCAGCUUCACUCCCAUGCUCUCUGGCGAGAGCAACUCCGGUGAGAUACAUGAAGGACUCAGGGGACUCCGCGGGCUCCCGGUCAGCUGGGUUGGCCUGUACAGCCCAUACCCCAUGAAGAAGUACUCCAUUGGUAUCAGCAUCGCAUGGGGUUGUUCUUCCGUAACCACAGAUCCACAUGCCUGAACCUCGACCAAAGCGCUGUAUCUCCUGUCCAACUUUGAGGUCAUGUGGAGGGCUUCAGAAUGGAACUGGGAGUUCUCACCCACAAAUAUUAGCGUCCUACACUUGAG
RNAcentral lists this unclassified non-coding RNA (297 nucleotides) under Hevea brasiliensis (rubber tree). The record is from RNAcentral. Lineage: Eukaryota; Viridiplantae; Streptophyta; Magnoliopsida; Malpighiales; Euphorbiaceae.